RNAcentral lists this ribosomal RNA (467 nucleotides) under uncultured bacterium. RNAcentral describes it as "partial 16S ribosomal RNA". It matches the Rfam family "Bacterial small subunit ribosomal RNA", at positions 29 to 507 of the family's 1533-position model. The record is from RNAcentral.
ACGAACGCUGGCGGCGUGCUUAACACAUGCAAGUCGAACGGAAAGGCCCUGCUUUUGUGGGGUGCUCGAGUGGCGAACGGGUGAGUAACACGUGAGUAACCUGCCCUUGACUUUGGGAUAACUUCAGGAAACUGGGGCUAAUACCGGAUAGGAGCUCCUGCUGCCUGGUGGGGGUUGGAAAGUUUCGGCGGUUGGGGAUGGACUCGCGGCUUAUCAGCUUGUUGGUGGGGUAGUGGCUUACCAAGGCUUUGACGGGUAGCCGGCCUGAGAGGGUGACCGGCCACAUUGGGACUGAGGUACGGCCCAGACUCCUACGGGAGGCAGCAGUGGGGAAUAUUGCACAAUGGGCGGAAGCCUGAUGCAGCGACGCCGCGUGCGGGAUGACGGCCUUCGGGUUGUAAACCGCUUUCGCCUGUGACGAAGCGUGAGUGACGGUAAUGGGUAAGGAAGCACCGGCUAACUACGUG